AGUCUGGUGCCAGCAGCCGCGGUAAUUCCAGCUCCAAUAGUGUAUAUUAAAGUUGCUGCAGUUAAAAAGCUCGUAGUUGGAUUUCGGAUAAUAAAAAUUUAAUAUCCAUCCUUAAAAUGUGAUUUAAUUUUUAUUUCCUUCCUUUUGAAUACACUCCCUAAACUCUUUUAGGGAAUUAAGUGUUUCAAAUCGUUUACUGUGAAGAAAUUAGAGUGUUCAAAGCAGGCGUAACCUAGCCUUUGAAUAUAUUAGCAUGGGAUAAUGAAAUAGGACUUUAGUCCUACUUUCGUUGGUUUCUAGGGCUGAAGUAAUGAUUAAUAGGGAUAGUUGGGGUCACUAGUAUUUAAUUGUCAGAGGUGAAAUUCUAAGAUUUAUUAAAGACUAACUACUGCGAAAGCAUUUGACAAGGAUGUUUUCAUUAAUCAAGAACGAAAGUUGGGGGAUCGAAGAUGAUCAGAUACCGUCGUAGUCUCAACCAUAAACUAUGCCGACCAAGGAUCCGGGGUUGUUAAUAUGGAUGACUCUCCGGGCACUUAUAGAGAAAUCAUAAGUAUUUGGGCUCCGGGGGGAGUAUGGUCGCAAGGCUGAAACUUAAAGGAAUUGACGGAAGGGCACCACAAGGAGUGGAACCUGCGGUUUAAUUUGACUCAACACGGGGAAACUUACCAGGUCCAGACACAGUGAGGAUUGACAGAUUGAGAGUUCUUUCUUGAUUCUGUGAGUGGUGGUGCAUGGCCGUUUCUAGUUGGUGGAGUGAUUUGUCUGGUUAAUUCCGUUAACGAACGAGACCUUAACCUAUUAAAUAGUUGUUUGAACUUGAUUUUUUAAAUCAAAUGUUCAUUUAACUUCUUAGAGGGACUCUUCACUGAGAGAGUGAAUGGAAGUUUGAGGCAAAAACAGGUCUGUGAUGCCCUUAGAUGUUCUGGCCACACGCGCGUUACACUGACAUAUUCAACGAGCAUUAUCCUUGCCCGUCGGGGUUGGGUAAUCUUUUAAAUGUAUGUCGUGCUGGGGAUAGAUCAUUGUAAUUAUUGGUCUUGAACGAGGAAUUCCUAGUAAGUGCGAGUCAUCAACUCGCGCUGAUUACGUCCCUGCCCUUUGUACACACCGCCCGUCGCUCCUACCGAUUGAAUGGUCCGGCGAGAACUCAGGAUGGAUAUGGAUUUUGGACCCGUUAGGUGUUCCAACCAUAUCCAGAAUUUGUUUAAACCUUACCA
Molecule: ribosomal RNA, 1217 nt
Filed under: metagenome
Description: SSU rRNA
Rfam family: Eukaryotic small subunit ribosomal RNA
Source: RNAcentral